CAGGCAAAAUGUCAGGAGAAAAUGCUUCUAGCACAUGGCCAUACAACCCGAAAAACCUACAACAACCCAGUGACUCCGGCCAUAAAGCCUUCGACAACUUCAACUCCCUUUAUUUUAUUUUAUUUUCGUAUCUCUGGGGCCUAAAAUGGCCCAGCAAGAUAAAAAAAAGUUGAAAAAGUUUCCCACAGGGUAAACAAUUUUUUUGGGAUCCAAGUUUUCCCGAGGAGCUAAUAUGUUCCUUUACCUUCCAUAGCUGGCGACUCCUGCCUUAAGAGAAUAAGAGUUCUGCAGCUCACAUUUUCGUAUUUUAUUUAGGAAGGUGUAAUGUAAUCAAAAUACUUAAAGCAGUAGGGAAGCUUUGUUAUAUGCUUUCUUUGUUGUUAUGUAGGCCUUCUGGGAAAAGCAGAAUAUAGUGAUAUUUUUGUGUUGCUUUUGCAUAAUUAACUGUUACUUUAGAAAGAGGAGGUUACUACUGAAAAUUACUGCGGUAGUAAUUUGAACAGUCAUUUAAGAUGAAUGAAUAAAUCAACCAAGCAAAUUGGCUUAUCUGAUACUUUCUUCUGAAGUGUAAGAAAUAUAUUAGAACUAUCAUAGGGAAGCCAAUAAUACAUUUAUUCUUACCUAGCAAGCAUGAAAAGCACAAUCCAUAAUUGAAAACGAGUGUUUUCAGAUUGAGGAUUUGCAGCAGAACUGCAAGUCAAUUGUAAGAGCAUCACAUGUUAGGAUAAAUAGGACUAGAAAAAUGAAAUUCUUACAUGGCUUUUCAUGUCCCUUCAGAUGAGCAGCAUUUCUCCACUGCCUUAUGUACAUAUCAUAGUUUGUUCUCUAUGUUCUGUUUCUUCUCUGUUAAUAAGAUCAGAUGAAAGGUAGUAUUUAUUCUCUCAUUUGGGGAAUGACAUUGGUUUCCCAUUGAAAUGUGAGUCCCAAGUUUGGGCUUCAAGUUAACAUAACUGGAACUAUUGGGUGCGGUUCCUAUCUUUGUGACAAUUGUUGCUGAUGUCAACAUUCUCCUUUACUGCCAGUUUUAUAGGGCUGUACAAUUCCAUUUUGUGAAUGGGAUUGUACAGCCUGCUCUGCAGUUCGUCAUCAGGUUGAGAACCGCAAAGGUAGAAGAUCUAUUUAAGAUUUUAAUUAAGCAAGAUAGAUUUAGCCCUUUAGGACCCCAAAGUCCUGUUACGACCUUUUGUCAAUUGGGAUGAGAGCAGUUCUACAUUUUUGGAACCCUUCUGUAUUUUAACAGCAAAGCAUUAUGAAAAUUAAUCUCCACAGGGUUUCAAUUAUAAACUUAAUGUGCAUCUUAAUUUGUCUUUUUAAACAACAUGUGCAAUUUUCAUAAGUUACCCAGUGUUCAUUUUAUCUGAAAUGUACAAGACUAAAUCGUAAAAAUUAGCCCUGACGUGCUUGUGUCUGUUACUUGUUGGAACAUUUUCAGCCUUCAAUCUCACUGUUUUCAUUACAAGAUGUGCCUUAAGCCAGUAUAGCGUUUGCUUUUUGACAAAAAUGCCAAACAAUAUCAUAAAAUUCAAAAAGGCACAGCAUAUCGUUUACAGUAAAUUGAACCAAUAUUUCUGUCUCGGUUUCUGAUCUAUUUUUGGUGUGCCUUUUGAUUGUGGAAUAAUUCAAAGCACUUUUAAAAGACACCCUCCCCAACUCUCUGUUUGUCCUUCAAAUCACCUGCAGACUAAAAGCGACUCCAUGAAUUUUUCAUUGGGGUUUCUUGCAUGAGGAGUAUUCAGAGGUAGUCUUGCCACUUUUCCUCUGAAAUACAGUCUUAUAACAUCUGGGAUUUGCUGCUGGUCUCCCAUCCAAGUAUUUACCAGGGCUCAACAUAUUUAAGCUUCCAAGAUCAAAUGGUGCCUUUAGGAUGUUUAGGACAGACAUACAAGAUGUAAGUAGUGAAUGCAGUCUGCAUGUUAGGACAGUUCUGUUUUGAAUAAGGAAUUAAAGACUUUUGCUGAUCUAUUCUUAAUGAAGCAAGCAAUCAGUUUUUUUAAAGUCUCUUCUGACUUUCUCUUUGUAUGUCAGUAUCUCCUCAGGCAAGUCUGUUCCAUAUCUUCAUGAUCUUGUAUAGAGGAUGCCUUCUUUGAUCCUUCUGCUCUAACAUGCUCCAGUGAAAAACAAAAGUAUGAACAAUAUAUUUAAUUGAAAGGUUUUUUGUGUCAGGAGAGACUUGAGAAACUGCAUGUCGCUACUGGUGUGAGAGAAUUGGUCGUCUGCAAGGACAUUGCUCAGGGCACACUCAGAUGUUUGAUGUUUUGCCAUACUUUGGGAGGCUUCCCUCAUGUCUCCACAUGGGAAACUAGAUCUGAGAUGGGAGCUCACUCUGCUCCCGAUUCAAACUGUCAACCUGUCGGUCAGCAGUCCUGCCGGCACAAGGGUUUAACCCAUUGUGCCACUGGGGGCUCUGGCAGCAACAAAAAGCAAUGAAAAGAUAAUAAAUGAAGCAGUUGAAUUGAGACUAUCAAAAAAGCACUGCAUAAAUAAAAAGCAUAACAUUUUAAUUUUUUGACACAAAAUUAAAAUAUUAAGCAAUUAAAAUGGGAGGGGCUAUAGGUUGCAUGUAGAGGUAAGUUUGCAAGAGGAGGAGGAUAAUUUGUAUAAUUCUAUGAAGGAAAGUGUGGGUAGCCAAGUAACUCCAUAAGAACUUGGCAAAUAGAUUCACUUUUAGGCUGCUUGUUGUUUCUUUGUGGGAGUUGUGAAGUGCCCAAAGAAAUAGAUGGGAAGUUACUACAAAAUUGUAUGAACAGAAGAAAUGACACCAGUGUGAUUUUGGCUUUUCAAGAAGUAUACGGAAUGUAAUCUAUUAUGAACCACAUGGUUUAGUUAUUUUAUUUCUUGUAUAUUUGUACAGAGACAGUCUGCUACUUAUCCAUUCUAACAAGCACUUGUAUUAACUACACCAUAAUGUAGAUGAAUUCAGAUAGAUAUGGAAAAUAGAUGCCUGCUGGGUAAAAUUCAUUUCCCUUUGAGUUUGUAUAAAGUCUGUUUUCCUUGAAUGCUAGUAGAGUGAUCUCUUCCAUGUUGGGGAGCCUUAAUACAACAGUCCCGACGUGAAUGUAAAUUACGCCUUUUCUUUUGAUCUGCCUUCUCUCUAUCAAUGCAAACUUUAUCUCUCCCCUUUUUUGUGAAAGAGUUACAAACUUGGUAGAUGAAGAGAAUGCUGUGGAUGUAGCAUAUCUCCAUUUCAGUAAGGCCUUUGACAUGCUUACAAAGAAGCUAGUAAACGUGUGUGUAUUUGUCUCUUUCUUCACUUGCCUUAUUUUUCUCAUGUACUGUUGCAGCUUGGCAAAAUGGCUGCCACAGGAGUCCAUGAGUUAUGGAGAUGACCCCUCUCUCCCCAGCUAAUUGUAUGUGUUCUAUUUAAACAGUUUUGGACUAAAGUAGCUGAAGAAUAUCACAUUGGAACAACUUGUGGAAUGCUAGGAAACAAAGUGCUGUUAACAGCUGACCAAAUAUAGUUUUGUGAAAUAGCUUUACUUUUUAAAUACUUCCUCUGGGUUUUUUUUUUCAUACUUUACAGAUAGAUUGAAGUUCCAAAACUGAGUUUUGUGAAUAAAUGUCAUGUCUCCUCCUGUACAGUUAGCUUUGGUUAAUAAAAAGCACCUCUCAAAUGGCUCAAAUAGAACUUUUUAUGAAAUUUCGUAAGACUAUUUGUAAAUGUAUUUCCUAUUAAAAUAUUUUGAAACAUG
Molecule: non-coding RNA, 3689 nt
Organism: Anolis sagrei ordinatus
Lineage: Eukaryota; Metazoa; Chordata; Lepidosauria; Squamata; Anolidae
Source: RefSeq, a predicted model, not a curated record